UGCCGAGAACCGUGAGGAAACGUCUCCCCUUGCGGAUCAGGUGAAAUACAGAGAAAAAGAGGAG
This 64-nucleotide non-coding RNA is filed under the name unclassified sequences. RNAcentral's name for it is "L20-Deltaproteobacteria ribosomal protein leader". It matches the Rfam family "L20-Deltaproteobacteria ribosomal protein leader". The record is from RNAcentral.